CAGCCAUGUUUCUUCAUGCUCUGAGGACUGGGUUGGCUACCAGAGGAAAUGCUACUUUAUUUCUACUGUGAAGAGGAGCUGGACUUCAGCCCAAAAUGCUUGUUCUGAACAUGGUGCUACUCUUGCUGUCAUUGAUUCUGAAAAGGACAUGAACUUUCUAAAACGAUACGCAGGUAGAGAGGAACACUGGGUUGGACUGAAAAAGGAACCUGGUCACCCAUGGAAGUGGUCAAAUGGCAAAGAAUUUAACAACUGGUUCAACGUUACAGGGUCUGACAAGUGUGUUUUUCUGAAAAACACAGAGGUCAGCAGCAUGGAAUGUGAGAAGAAUUUAUACUGGAUAUGUAACAAACCUUACAAAUAAUAAGGAAACAUGUUCACUUAUUGACUAUUAUAGAAUGGAACUCAAGGAAAUCUGUGUCAGUGGAUGCUGCUCUGUGGUCCGAAGUCUUCCAUAGAGACUUUGUGAAAAAAAAUUUUAUAGUGUCUUGGGAAUUUUCUUCCAAACAGAACUAUGGAAAAAAAGGAAGAAAUUCCAGGAAAAUCUGCACUGUGGGCUUUUAUUGCCAUGAGCUAGAAGCAUCACAGGUUGACCAAUAACCAUGCCCAAGAAUGAGAAGAAUGACUAUGCAACCUUUGGAUGCACUUUAUAUUAUUUUGAAUCCAGAAAUAAUGAAAUAACUAGGCGUGGACUUACUAUUUAUUGCUGAAUGACUACCAACAGUGAGAGCCCUUCAUGCAUUUGCACUAUUGGAAGGAGUUAGAUGUUGGUACUAGAUACUGAAUGUAAACAAAGGAAUUAUGGCUGGUAACAUAGGUUUUUAGUCUAAUUGAAUCCCUUAAACUCAGGGAGCAUUUAUAAAUGGACAAAUGCUUAUGAAACUAAGAUUUGUAAUAUUUCUCUCUUUUUAGAGAAAUUUGCCAAUUUACUUUGUUAUUUUUCCCCAAAAAGAAUGGGAUGAUCAUGUAUUUAUUUUUUUACUUCCUCAGCUGUAGACAGGUCCUUUUCGAUGGUACAUAUUUCUUUGCCUUUAUAAUCUUUUAUACAGUGUCUUACAGAGAAAAGACAUAAGCAAAGACUAUGAGGAAUAUUUGCAAGACAUAGAAUAGUGUUGGAAAAUGUGCAAUAUGUGAUGUGGCAAAUCUCUAUUAGGAAAUAUUCUGUAAUCUUCAGACCUAGAAUAAUACUAGUCUUAUAAUAGGUUUGUGACUUUCCUAAAUCAAUUCUAUUACGUGCAAUACUUCAAUACUUCAUUUAAAAUAUUUUUAUGUGCAAUAAAAUGUAUUUGUUUGUAUUUUGUGUUCAGUACAAUUAUAAGCUGUUUUUAUAUAUGUGAAAUAAAAGUAGAAUAAAC
Molecule: long non-coding RNA, 1355 nt
Filed under: Homo sapiens (human)
Lineage: Eukaryota; Metazoa; Chordata; Mammalia; Primates; Hominidae
Description: long non-coding RNA NONHSAT163292.1
Source: RNAcentral